AGGGUUUGAUCAUGGCUCAGAUUGAACGCUGGCGGCAGGCCUAACACAUGCAAGUCGAACGGUAACAGGAAACAGCUUGCUGUUUCGCUGACGAGUGGCGGACGGGUGAGUAAUGUCUGGGAAACUGCCUGAUGGAGGGGGAUAACUACUGGAAACGGUAGCUAAUACCGCAUAACGUCGCAAGACCAAAGAGGGGGACCCUCGGGCCUCUUGCCAUCGGAUGUGCCCAGAUGGGAUUAGCUUGUUGGUGGGGUAACGGCUCACCAAGGCGACGAUCCCUAGCUGGUCUGAGAGGAUGACCAGCCACACUGGAACUGAGACACGGUCCAGACUCCUACGGGAGGCAGCAGUGGGGAAUGUUGCACAAUGGGCGCAAGCCUGAUGCAGCCAUGCCGCGUGUAUGAAGAAGGCCUUCGGGUUGUAAAGUACUUUCAGCGGGGAGGAAGGGAGUAAAGUUAAUACCUUUGCUCAUUGACGUUACCCGCAGAAGAAGCACCGGCUAACUCCGUGCCAGCAGCCGCGGUAAUACGGAGGGUGCAAGCGUUAAUCGGAAUUACUGGGCGUAAAGCGCACGCAGGCGGUUUGUUAAGUCAGAUGUGAAAUCCCCGGGCUCAACCUGGGAACUGCAUCUGAUACUGGCAAGCUUGAGUCUCGUAGAGGGGGGUAGAAUUCCAGGUGUAGCGGUGAAAUGCGUAGAGAUCUGGAGGAAUACCGGUGGCGAAGGCGGCCCCCUGGACGAAGACUGACGCUCAGGUGCGAAAGCGUGGGGAGCAAACAGGAUAGAUACCCUGGUAGUCCACGCCGUAAACGAUGUCGACUUGGAGGUUGUGCCCUUGAGGCGUGGCUUCCGGAGCUAACGCGUUAAGUCGACCGCCUGGGGAGUACGGCCGCAAGGUUAAAACUCAAAUGAAUUGACGGGGGCCCGCACAAGCGGUGGAGCAUGUGGUUUAAUUCGAUGCAACGCGAAGAACCUUACCUGGUCUUGACAUCCACGGAAGUUUUCAGAGAUGAGAAUGUGCCUUCGGGAACCGUGAGACAGGUGCUGCAUGGCUGUCGUCAGCUCGUGUUGUGAAAUGUUGGGUUAAGUCCCGCAACGAGCGCAACCCUUAUCCUUUGUUGCCAGCGGUCCGGCCGGGAACUCAAAGGAGACUGCCAGUGAUAAACUGGAGGAAGGUGGGGAUGACGUCAAGUCAUCAUGGCCCUUACGACCAGGGCUACACACGUGCUACAAUGGCGCAUACAAAGAGAAGCGACCUCGCGAGAGCAAGCGGACCUCAUAAAGUGCGUCGUAGUCCGGAUUGGAGUCUGCAACUCGACUCCAUGAAGUCGGAAUCGCUAGUAAUCGUGGAUCAGAAUGCCACGGUGAAUACGUUCCCGGGCCUUGUACACACCGCCCGUCACACCAUGGGAGUGGGUUGCAAAAGAAGUAGGUAGCUUAACCUUCGGGAGGGCGCUUACCACUUUGUGAUUCAUGACUGGGGUGAAGUCGUAACAAGGUA
This 1499-nucleotide ribosomal RNA is filed under the name metagenome. RNAcentral describes it as "bacterial SSU rRNA". It matches the Rfam family "Bacterial small subunit ribosomal RNA". The record is from RNAcentral.